UACGUAGGGGUCAAGCGUUGUCCGGAAUCAUUGGGCGUAAAGCGCGUGUAGGCGGUCCGAUAAGUCGGCUGUGAAAGUCCAGGGCUCAACCCUGGGAUGCCGGUCGAUACUGUCGGACUAGAGUUCGGAAGAGGCGAGUGGAAUUCCCGGUGUAGCGGUGAAAUGCGCAGAUAUCGGGAGGAACACCAAUGGCGAAGGCAGCUCGCUGGGACGUUACUGACGCUGAGACGCGAAAGCGUGGGGAGCAAACAGG
RNAcentral lists this ribosomal RNA (253 nucleotides) under uncultured bacterium. RNAcentral's name for it is "partial 16S ribosomal RNA". It matches the Rfam family "Bacterial small subunit ribosomal RNA", at positions 524 to 776 of the family's 1533-position model. The record is from RNAcentral.